CAGUAGCCGCGGUAAUACGUAGGUGGCAAGCGUUGUCCGGAAUUAUUGGGCGUAAAGGGCUCGCAGGCGGUUUCUUAAGUCUGAUGUGAAAGCCCCCGGCUCAACCGGGGAGGGUCAUUGGAAACUGGGAAACUUGAGUGCAGAAGAGGGGAGUGGAAUUCCACGUGUAGCGGUGAAAUGCGUAGAGAUGUGGAGGAACACCAGUGGCGAAGGCGACUCUCUGGUCUGUAACUGACGCUGAGGAGCGAAAGCGUGGGGAGCGAACAGGAUUAGAUACCCCUGUAGUCCCUGUCUCUUAUAC
RNAcentral lists this ribosomal RNA (301 nucleotides) under uncultured bacterium. RNAcentral describes it as "partial 16S ribosomal RNA". It matches the Rfam family "Bacterial small subunit ribosomal RNA", at positions 509 to 807 of the family's 1533-position model. The record is from RNAcentral.